GAUGAAGAACGCAGCGAAAUGCGAUAAGUAAUGUGAAUUGCAGAAUUCAGUGAAUCAUCGAAUCUUUGAACGCACAUUGCGCCCUCUGGUAUUCCGGGGGGCAUGCCUGUUCGAGCGUCAUUAUAACCACUCAAGCUCUCGCUUGGUAUUGGGGUUCGCGGUUUCGCGGCCCCUAAAAUCAGUGGCGGUGCCUGUCGGCUCUACGCGUAGUAAUACUUCUCGCGAUUGAGUUCGAUAGGUCUACUUGCCAGUAACCCCCAAUUUUUACAGGUUGACCUUGGAUCAGGUAGGGAUACCCGCUGAACUUAAGCAUAUCAAUAAGCGGAGGA
RNAcentral lists this unclassified non-coding RNA (329 nucleotides) under soil metagenome. RNAcentral's name for it is "partial contains 5.8S ribosomal RNA, internal transcribed spacer 2, and large subunit ribosomal RNA". The stretch from base 1 to 120 matches the Rfam family "5.8S ribosomal RNA", at positions 35 to 154 of the family's 154-position model. The record is from RNAcentral.